RNAcentral lists this non-coding RNA (29 nucleotides) under Rattus norvegicus (Norway rat). The record is from RNAcentral. Lineage: Eukaryota; Metazoa; Chordata; Mammalia; Rodentia; Muridae.
UCCUUUGAGCUGUGUGUGGACUUUAUAGG